UGGGGGACAACGUUUCGAAAGGAACGCUAAUACCGCAUACGUCCUACGGGAGAAAGCAGGGGACCUUCGGGCCUUGCGCUAUCAGAUGAGCCUAGGUCGGAUUAGCUAGUUGGUGAGGUAAUGGCUCACCAAGGCGACGAUCCGUAACUGGUCUGAGAGGAUGAUCAGUCACACUGGAACUGAGACACGGUCCAGACUCCUACGGGAGGCAGCAGUGGGGAAUAUUGGACAAUGGGCGAAAGCCUGAUCCAGCCAUGCCGCGUGUGUGAAGAAGGUCUUCGGAUUGUAAAGCACUUUAAGGUGGGAGGAAGGGUUGUAGAUUAAUACUCUGCAAUUUUGACGUUACCGCCAGAAUAAGCACCGGCUAACUCUGUGCCAGCAGCCGCGGUAAUACAGAGGGUGCAAGCGUUAAUCGGAAUUACUGGGCGUAAAGCGCGCGUAGGUGGUUUGUUAAGUCGGAUGUGAAAUCCCCGGGCUCAACCUGGGAACUGCAUCCGAAACUGGCAAGCUAGAGUAUGGUAGAGGGUAGUGGAAUUUCCUGUGUAGCGGUGAAAUGCGUA
Molecule: ribosomal RNA, 560 nt
Filed under: Pseudomonas sp.
Lineage: Bacteria; Pseudomonadati; Pseudomonadota; Gammaproteobacteria; Pseudomonadales; Pseudomonadaceae
Also listed under: 10 other names
Description: bacterial SSU rRNA
Rfam family: Bacterial small subunit ribosomal RNA
Source: RNAcentral